AAAUUGAAGAGUUUGAUCAUGGCUCAGAUUGAACGCUGGCGGCAGGCCUAACACAUGCAAGUCGAACGGUAACAGGAAGAAGCUUGCUUCUUUGCUGACGAGUGGCGGACGGGUGAGUAAUGUCUGGGAAACUGCCUGAUGGAGGGGGAUAACUACUGGAAACGGUAGCUAAUACCGCAUAAUGUCGCAAGACCAAAGAGGGGGACCUUCGGGCCUCUUGCCAUCGGAUGUGCCCAGAUGGGAUUAGCUAGUAGGUGGGGUAACGGCUCACCUAGGCGACGAUCCCUAGCUGGUCUGAGAGGAUGACCAGCCACACUGGAACUGAGACACGGUCCAGACUCCUACGGGAGGCAGCAGUGGGGAAUAUUGCACAAUGGGCGCAAGCCUGAUGCAGCCAUGCCGCGUGUAUGAAGAAGGCCUUCGGGUUGUAAAGUACUUUCAGCGGGGAGGAAGGGAGUAAAGUUAAUACCUUUGCUCAUUGACGUUACCCGCAGAAGAAGCACCGGCUAACUCCGUGCCAGCAGCCGCGGUAAUACGGAGGGUGCAAGCGUUAAUCGGAAUUACUGGGCGUAAAGCGCACGCAGGCGGUUUGUUAAGUCAGAUGUGAAAUCCCCGGGCUCAACCUGGGAACUGCAUCUGAUACUGGCAAGCUUGAGUCUCGUAGAGGGGGGUAGAAUUCCAGGUGUAGCGGUGAAAUGCGUAGAGAUCUGGAGGAAUACCGGUGGCGAAGGCGGCCCCCUGGACGAAGACUGACGCUCAGGUGCGAAAGCGUGGGGAGCAAACAGGAUUAGAUACCCUGGUAGUCCACGCCGUAAACGAUGUCGACUUGGAGGUUGUGCCCUUGAGGCGUGGCUUCCGGAGCUAACGCGUUAAGUCGACCGCCUGGGGAGUACGGCCGCAAGGUUAAAACUCAAAUGAAUUGACGGGGGCCCGCACAAGCGGUGGAGCAUGUGGUUUAAUUCGAUGCAACGCGAAGAACCUUACCUGGUCUUGACAUCCACAGAACUUUCCAGAGAUGGAUUGGUGCCUUCGGGAACUGUGAGACAGGUGCUGCAUGGCUGUCGUCAGCUCGUGUUGUGAAAUGUUGGGUUAAGUCCCGCAACGAGCGCAACCCUUAUCCUUUGUUGCCAGCGGUCCGGCCGGGAACUCAAAGGAGACUGCCAGUGAUAAACUGGAGGAAGGUGGGGAUGACGUCAAGUCAUCAUGGCCCUUACGACCAGGGCUACACACGUGCUACAAUGGCGCAUACAAAGAGAAGCGACCUCGCGAGAGCAAGCGGACCUCAUAAAGUGCGUCGUAGUCCGGAUUGGAGUCUGCAACUCGACUCCAUGAAGUCGGAAUCGCUAGUAAUCGUGGAUCAGAAUGCCACGGUGAAUACGUUCCCGGGCCUUGUACACACCGCCCGUCACACCAUGGGAGUGGGUUGCAAAAGAAGUAGGUAGCUUAACCUUCGGGAGGGCGCUUACCACUUUGUGAUUCAUGACUGGGGUGAAGUCGUAACAAGGUAACCGUAGGGGAACCUGCGGUUGGAUCACCUCCUUACCUUAAAGAA
RNAcentral lists this ribosomal RNA (1552 nucleotides) under Escherichia coli. RNAcentral describes it as "bacterial SSU rRNA". It matches the Rfam family "Bacterial small subunit ribosomal RNA". Lineage: Bacteria; Pseudomonadati; Pseudomonadota; Gammaproteobacteria; Enterobacterales; Enterobacteriaceae. The record is from RNAcentral.